This 127-nucleotide small RNA is filed under the name Marmota monax (woodchuck). Lineage: Eukaryota; Metazoa; Chordata; Mammalia; Rodentia; Sciuridae. The record is from RNAcentral.
GCCAGGUGCGAUGGCGCAUACCUGGAAUCCCAGCAAUUCAGGAGGCUGAGGCAGGAGGAUCGCAGGUUGGAGGCCAGCCUCAGCAACUUAUGGAGGCCCUCAGCAACUCAGCGAGACCCUGUCUCUA